UACGGGGGGGGCAAGCGUUGUUCGGAAUUACUGGGCGUAAAGGGCUCGUAGGUGGCCAACUAAGUCAGACGUGAAAUCCCUCGGCUUAACCGGGGAACUGCGUCUGAUACUGGAUGGCUUGAGUUUGGGAGAGGGACGCGGAAUUCCAGGUGUAGCGGUGAAAUGCGUAGAUAUCUGGAGGAACACCGGUGGCGAAGGCGGCGCCCUGGACCAGCACUGACGCUGAUAAGCGAAAGCCAGGGGAGCGAACAGG
RNAcentral lists this ribosomal RNA (253 nucleotides) under uncultured bacterium. RNAcentral's name for it is "partial 16S ribosomal RNA". It matches the Rfam family "Bacterial small subunit ribosomal RNA", at positions 524 to 776 of the family's 1533-position model. The record is from RNAcentral.